GCCGCCUUAGCUCAGUUGGUAGAGCAGCUGAUUUGUAAUCAGCAGGUCGUGGGUUCGAGUCCCACAAGCGGCUCCA
RNAcentral lists this transfer RNA (76 nucleotides) under Clostridiales bacterium. RNAcentral's name for it is "tRNA-Thr". It matches the Rfam family "tRNA". From Rfam's summary of the family: Transfer RNA (tRNA) molecules are approximately 80 nucleotides in length. Their secondary structure includes four short double-helical elements and three loops (D, anti-codon, and T loops). Further hydrogen bonds mediate the characteristic L-shaped molecular structure. tRNAs have two regions of fundamental functional importance: the anti-codon, which is responsible for specific mRNA codon recognition, and the 3' end, to which the tRNAs corresponding amino acid is attached (by aminoacyl-tRNA synthetases). tRNAs cope with the degeneracy of the genetic code in two manners: having more than one tRNA (with a specific anti-codon) for a particular amino acid; and 'wobble' base-pairing, i.e. permitting non-standard base-pairing at the 3rd anti-codon position. The record is from RNAcentral. Lineage: Bacteria; Bacillati; Bacillota; Clostridia; Eubacteriales. RNAcentral also lists the same sequence under 2 other names.